GUGUCAGCCGCCGCGGUAAUACGGAGGAUCCGAGCGUUAUCCGGAUUUAUUGGGUUUAAAGGGUGCGUAGGCGGCCUAUUAAGUCAGGGGUGAAAUACGGUGGCUCAACCAUCGCAGUGCCUUUGAUACUGAUGGGCUUGAAUCCAUUUGAAGUGGGCGGAAUAAGACAAGUAGCGGUGAAAUGCAUAGAUAUGUCUUAGAACUCCGAUUGCGAAGGCAGCUCACUAAGCUGGUAUUGACGCUGAUGCACGAAAGCGUGGGGAUCGAACAGGAUUAGAAACCCCCGUAGUCC
Molecule: ribosomal RNA, 292 nt
Filed under: uncultured bacterium
Lineage: Bacteria
Description: partial 16S ribosomal RNA
Rfam family: Bacterial small subunit ribosomal RNA
Source: RNAcentral